UACAGGGGGGGCAAGCGUUGUUCGGAAUUACUGGGCGUAAAGGGCUCGUAGGCGGCCGGCUAAGUCCGACGUGAAAUCCCCAGGCUUAACCUGGGAACUGCGUCGGAUACUGGCGGGCUUGAAUCCGGGAGAGGGAUGCGGAAUUCCAGGUGUAGCGGUGAAAUGCGUAGAUAUCAGGAGGAAUACCGGUGGCGAAGGCGGCAUCCUGGACCGACAUUGACGCUGAUGAGCGAAAGCCAGGGGAGCAAACAGG
Molecule: ribosomal RNA, 253 nt
Filed under: uncultured bacterium
Lineage: Bacteria
Description: partial 16S ribosomal RNA
Rfam family: Bacterial small subunit ribosomal RNA
Source: RNAcentral